UACAGAGGGUGCAAGCGUUAUUCGGAAUUAUUGGGCAUAAAGCGCAUGUAGGUGGUUUGAUAAGUCUGAUGUGAAAUCCCCGGACUCAAUUCGGGAAGUGCAUUGGAUACUGUCAGGCUAGAGUAUGGGAGAGGUGAGCGGAAUUCCAGGUGUAGAGGUGAAAUUCGUAGAUAUCUGGAGGAACAACAGAGGCGAAGGCGGCUCACUGGACCAUUACUGACGCUGAGGCGCGAAAGCUAGGGGAGCAAACGGG
Molecule: ribosomal RNA, 253 nt
Filed under: uncultured bacterium
Lineage: Bacteria
Description: partial 16S ribosomal RNA
Rfam family: Bacterial small subunit ribosomal RNA
Source: RNAcentral